Molecule: small nuclear RNA, 295 nt
Filed under: Jaculus jaculus (lesser Egyptian jerboa)
Lineage: Eukaryota; Metazoa; Chordata; Mammalia; Rodentia; Dipodidae
Description: 7SK RNA (ENSJJAG00000006457.1)
Rfam family: 7SK RNA
About the family: 7SK was discovered as an abundant small nuclear RNA in the mid-70s but a possible function has only recently been suggested. Two independent studies have found that 7SK RNA binds the CDK9/cyclin T complex (known as elongation factor P-TEFb).
Source: RNAcentral
GAAUGUGAGGGCAAUCUGGCUGUCAAAUCUUUCACCCCAUUGUUGAUUGCCAGGCUGGAUUCUGGUGAUCUGCAUGGCUUUCGCCCACACCGUUCCAUGGGUAGCCCUCCUGAAGCUGCACAUUCAAGGAGGGCAGCAUUCCCUCAGAGAGGAAGGUCAUUCUUCAGUCAAAGGCACCCUAGUGGUUGUGCCCCUGCUGUAACCUCCAAGCAAGCUCCCAAGAACAGGGCUUGCCACUCCUUAAAAAUUAAUAAUUUUGCAACAUCAUUAACUAUGCAGAGUUCAAAUCUAUCUU